GCCCGCCACCGUUUCUGCGGUCGUAGUCCUGAGUCGGACACAUCCGCUCUGCCAUAAAACCACUACCGCACACGGAUUUAUGUCCCUGUGUUUGAUGCUGGAGAAGAUGGGCUAAACAAGAGAAGAAGAAAAAAGCACAAAGGAAGAAAGGACGCAGGAAGGAGACAUAAAUGAAGAAAGAAGAUGCCCAAUAUACGCCAGAUUAAGAAGAGGGAAAAGAAGACGAUGAAAUGGAGCAAAGAAGCAAUGGGGCAGGCCAUGCAGGAGGUGCAGGCAGGCAGGCAAUUGUUAAGGCAGGCGGCCCGUCAAUUUGGAGUUCCAAAGUCGAGUCUGGCGGACCGACUCAGUGGACCUGUGGCCGCUGACUGCAGCCCAGGCCAACCUCAGCUUCUUGCCCCUGAAGAUGAGAGUUCCCUGGUGGAGUAUUGCUUGUACUCUGCCAGUCACGGGUGUCCUCAAAGAAAGUAUCAGGUGUUGGACAAAGCUCUGGCCAUUUAUAAUUAUCGUAAUCCGCACAAACCCAGGACUGUUCUCGGCCAAACCUGGUGGAUUAAUUUCAGGGAGCGGCACCACCAUCGCCUUACCUCCCACAUCCCAUCCAUUAAUGACCACGGUAAGAAAUCAAGCACAAGGAGGGGUUCACUCCGGGGGUAACCUUUUCCAGGUUACCCCCGCACGAGUGUCCGCCUUCCUCUCCAUCUUCCAAUCCCUACCUCACCCAUCCACUGGUAGCAUCAGGUCGCAUAACUGUGGAACUGGCCCGUGUCCCGUCCAAAACCAGCCAAACCUGUGAGAUCUCAAACGCCAGGAAAAAUGCCUAUGUGCUGAUGGCUCAGGAAAUGUCCGAUGUCAUCAAGAAGGUGGGGUCAGUGCAGCAAGAAUGGAGCGACAGGGGCCAGAAGACGCUGACCUGGUAGUCUCUUCCUCUACCUUAUCGGGUGGCUCUGGCCGCAACAGAAGCCUGUCCUUAGUGACCCAGCCGGCCACCAGGUUUAGUGCUGCUGGUCCCUCAGCCCUUUUUGUUCACACUUUGUCCCACAGCCCCUCAUUCAGCAGCACAACAACCAGCGUGAGCUUGUCUUCCAAUGACCGGCAUCAUACAAUUGGAGACGCUCUCAACCCUUGGCAGACCUCCUCUAUGCCUCCAGCUCCCCUGUCUUCGCUUGGCUCCUCCUCCUCCACUGCUGAACCCACAACAUCCACUGCUGCAAAGAAGAAAAAAUGGGAAAAGAAGAUUUUGCGAUGUGGACGGUGCAGACAGCCCUAUCCUCCAAAGGACCCAGAAGGAUUGGUUCAUUGGUUCUGUGGGUUCAAUGUGACAACUGCCACAAAAUGUUUCACACCAUUUGUGUGAGCUCGGAGAUGGACUUCGAUGUCAAUGAAUUUUUGUGUUUUUGGUGCCUUGAUGUUUGAUUUUGUUGUAAUUUCUCAUGGCUCAUGAUGCAUUCAAUUCUAGUUUGACUUCAUUUACAAGUCACAAUUUUACAACAUUGUGUCAAAUGUUAGAGACUUUUAAGACUGCUGCAAAAUAAUUUUUUUGUCUUGACAAAUUGUAGUCAGAUUUGUAUACUGCAUUAUGUGUGCAAAUGCAUGUUUUGCAGAAUACACAGUUCGAAAUUUGAUUUUGAUUUGAUUUUACACCCAGCAGGUGUUGGUAUGCACUGAAAAUGGGAAAAAUGUAGAGCCUUUACAUAAUCUGUAAUGUAUUUCUAAACAGGAGAAAAGGCAUAAUUUGACAUCCAUUUGAUGGAAAAGACCACAUGGGGGCAGUAGUUUACCAACAAGGUAGUCUUCAUGAAUAAGAGACAUGACCAAAUGUAUUUGCACUUGCAGAUUUUAUGAUGGUUAUGAGGCUUUCUACAAAAACUCUUUGUGACUCCAAAAUAUAUUUUUAAGCUCAGAGAUGGACUUGGAGAAACAUAAAUGUUGGCGUUUUUGAUGCCUUGAACUUUG
Molecule: long non-coding RNA, 1953 nt
Organism: Cyclopterus lumpus (lumpfish)
Lineage: Eukaryota; Metazoa; Chordata; Actinopteri; Perciformes; Cyclopteridae
Exons: 5
Source: RefSeq, a predicted model, not a curated record